AACGGCGAGUGAAGCGGCAACAGCUCAAAUUUGAAAUCUGGCUCUUUCAGGGUCCGAGUUGUAAUUUGUAGAAGAUGUUUCGAGUGUGGCUCCGGUCUAAGUUCCUUGGAACAGGACGUCAUAGAGGGUGAGAAUCCCGUAUGUGACUGGUUGCCUUCGCUCAUGUGAAACUCUUUCGACGAGUCGAGUUGUUUGGGAAUGCAGCUCAAAAUGGGUGGUAAAUUUCAUCUAAAGCUAAAUAUUGGCCAGAGACCGAUAGCGCACAAGUAGAGUGAUCGAAAGAUGAAAAGCACUUUGGAAAGAGAGUUAAACAGUACGUGAAAUUGUUGAAAGGGAAGCGCUUGCAACCAGACUUGCGCGUAGUUGAUCAUCCGGGGUUCUCCCCGGUGCACUCGAUUACGCUCAGGCCAGCAUCGGUUUGGGUGGUUGGAUAAAGGCCUUGGGAAUGUGGCUUCCUUCGGGGAGUGUUAUAGCCCUCGGUGCAAUGCAGCCUAUCCGGACCGAGGACCGCGCUUCGGCUAGGAUGCUGGCGUAAUGGUUGUAAGCGACCCGUCUUG
Molecule: ribosomal RNA, 557 nt
Filed under: Stipitochalara longipes
Lineage: Eukaryota; Fungi; Ascomycota; Leotiomycetes; Helotiales; Hamatocanthoscyphaceae
Description: eukaryotic LSU rRNA
Rfam family: Eukaryotic large subunit ribosomal RNA
Source: RNAcentral